Molecule: ribosomal RNA, 483 nt
Filed under: uncultured bacterium
Lineage: Bacteria
Description: partial 16S ribosomal RNA
Source: RNAcentral
GUAGUUAGCCGUGGCUUCCUCCUUAGGUACCGUCAUUAUCGUCCCUAAAGACAGAGCUUUACAAUCCGAAGACCUUCAUCACUCACGCGGCGUUGCUGCAUCAGGGUUUCCCCCAUUGUGCAAUAUUCCCCACUGCUGCCUCCCGUAGGAGUCUGGACCGUGUCUCAGUUCCAGUGUGGCCGAUCAGCCUCUCAGCUCGGCUACCCAUCGCAGGCUUGGUGGGCCGUUACCUCACCAACUACCUAAUGGGACGCGAACCCCUCUUAAAGCGGAUUGCUCCUUUGACCUCAUCCCGAUGCCGGGUCGUGGUCUUAUGCGGUAUUAGCACUUGUUUCCAGGUGUUAUCCCCCUCUUUAAGGCAGGUUGUUCACGCGUUACUCACCCGUUCGCCACUCAGUACAAAACCGAAAUUCUGUACUCCGUUCGACUUGCAUGUGUUAAGCACGCCGCCAGCGUUCGUCCUGAGCCAAGAUCAAAUUCUGA